RNAcentral lists this ribosomal RNA (252 nucleotides) under uncultured bacterium. RNAcentral's name for it is "partial 16S ribosomal RNA". It matches the Rfam family "Bacterial small subunit ribosomal RNA", at positions 524 to 776 of the family's 1533-position model. The record is from RNAcentral.
UACAGAGGUCUCAAGCGUUGUUCGGAUUCAUUGGCGUAAAGGGUGCGUAGGUGGCGCUGUAAGUCGGGUGUGAAAUUUCGGAGCUUAACUCCGAAACUGCAUUCGAUACUGCGGUGCUUGAGGACUGGAGAGGAGACUGGAAUUCAUGGUGUAGCAGUGAAAUGCGUAGAGAUCAUGAGGAAGACCAGUGGCGAAGGCGGGUCUCUGGACAGUUCCUGACACUGAGGCACGAAGGCCAGGGGAGCAAACGGG